GGUCGCGGACAUCAUCUUUAGGCUGUGGAUGCCUUGGCCGGGGUCUCCAGACGCUGACCCUCCAGGGUUGGAAACUACUGCCUGCUUGCCACGUCGUGCCGCCAAUUGUGCUGCCCGAAGUAGCAGCCUGAGAGCCCUUGAAAGUUGCAGUUAUCUUGUGAACAGCAUAUUUACGGUCUCUUGGGCUUGGUGGUGGUUGGGGGAGGGCUGUUAAUGCUUUAAUUUGUUCAAUGAAACAUUUAAAAUGCCCCACAAUUUUUAUAACCCUGUUUGCCUCUUUUUGUUUUUAUUUUUAUUGUAUUUUGGAAAAAUUCACUGGGAUCCUUGAGUGAUGAUCCUAGCGUCUCCUGACCCUUAGGUGUUUCACCUGAAAAGCCUGGGUCUUCAAGCUGAGGCAUUUCUGUUCUAGCCUGGAGGCGCCUAGGAGCCCUGGGAGACUUUUUAAGCAGAGAGAUUUGGCAUUUAGAUCUCUGGGUUUUAGAGGAGUGGGAACGCACCUAAAAGUGGGGUUGCCAGUUACAAAGCUGUUGCAGUCCUGAAGAGACCCAGAGUUUAGGUCCAAAAUUUUAUUUAUUCAACAAACACUUUAUAAAGCACUUACUGUGUGCCAGGCACUGUUCUUAGCGUUUUGCAAACCUUAACUCAUUUAAUUCUCCUAACAACCCUAUGAGGUUGGAACAAUUAACCUAAUUUACAGUGAAGAAACUGAGCCCGGGGGAGGUUAUUUUGUCACACAGCUUGUAAGUGGAGGGCUGAGAUUUGACCCUGGCCUGUGCUCUGAACUCUCAGGCUCUGCCAUAUUUCUCAUUACACUGGUAUUUGGGCACUUCAAAGGGAAAGGAAACAUAACUGUCCCAAGCACUGAGCUAGAUUCUGAGCACGUAGGAGUCAGGAGAGGGUGAUACAGAAUAGACUAGGUGAAAUAUGGCUAGAUUUCUGGUAGAAAAGGAUUAAUUCAUUCCAUCCAAAUUCUUCAUUUUAUAGAUAAGAAAAUUGAGGUUCGAAAUGGGGAAGGGGCUUACCAAGUUCCCAUAGGGAAGUUUAGAUGUCCUGACUUCCAGGUAAGAUGCCAGGCUAUUGGACCCUGCUCAGGAAUGAUGGUCCACACAGCUGCACCUCUGUACAGCCAAUAUUCCUUUUUUAAAAACCUUGCCCAACAACUUGGCAGUGUCUAAUGCGAGCUACAAAACAUUUUCUAUUCUUUGAUCAAGCAGUUUCACUCUUGGUAAAGUAGGGGAGACUGUGCAAAGAUGCAGAAAUAGCCAAUUUAAUAGCAAAAACUGGAAAUAAACCCGAGUCCUGACAAUAAGAAAAUCGCCA
This 1320-nucleotide long non-coding RNA is filed under the name Homo sapiens (human). Its description in RNAcentral is "non-protein coding lnc-FEN1-6:1". Lineage: Eukaryota; Metazoa; Chordata; Mammalia; Primates; Hominidae. The record is from RNAcentral.